UCGAACGAUGAAGGAGGAGCUUGCUCCUCCGGAUUAGUGGCGAACGGGUGAGUAAUACGUGAGCAAUGUGCCCUUGACUCUGGGAUAAGCGCUGGAAACGGCGUCUAAUACCGGAUACGACCUUCGGAGGCAUCUCCUGUAGGUGGAAAGAACUUCGGUCAAGGAUCAGCUCACGGCCUAUCAGCUAGUUGGUGAGGUAACGGCUCACCAAGGCGACGACGGGUAGCCGGCCUGAGAGGGUGACCGGCCACACUGGGACUGAGACACGGCCCAGACUCCUACGGGAGGCAGCAGUGGGGAAUAUUGCACAAUGGGCGCAAGCCUGAUGCAGCAACGCCGCGUGAGGGACGACGGCCUUCGGGUUGUAAACCUCUUUUAGCAGGGAAGAAGCGAAAGUGACGGUACCUGCAGAAAAAGCACCGGCUAACUACGUGCCAGCAGCCGCGGUAAUACGUAGGGUGCAAGCGUUGUCCGGAAUUAUUGGGCGUAAAGAGCUCGUAGGCGGUUUGUCGCGUCUGCUGUGAAAACCCGAGGCUCAACCUCGGGCUUGCAGUGGGUACGGGCAGACUAGAGUGCGGUAGGGGAGAUUGGAAUUCCUGGUGUAGCGGUGGAAUGCGCAGAUAUCAGGAGGAACACCGAUGGCGAAGGCAGAUCUCUGGGCCGUAACUGACGCUGAGGAGCGAAAGCAUGGGUAGCAAACAGGCUUAGAUACCCUG
RNAcentral lists this ribosomal RNA (716 nucleotides) under Agrococcus lahaulensis. RNAcentral's name for it is "bacterial SSU rRNA". It matches the Rfam family "Bacterial small subunit ribosomal RNA", at positions 62 to 789 of the family's 1533-position model. Lineage: Bacteria; Bacillati; Actinomycetota; Actinomycetes; Micrococcales; Microbacteriaceae. The record is from RNAcentral.